ACUUCUUUAUCACCGAGUGCUUGCACUCACCGAUAAAGAGUUGAGUGGCGAACGGGUGAGUAACACGUGGGCAACCUGCCCAAAAGAGGGGGAUAACACUUGGAAACAGGUGCUAAUACCGCAUAACCAUAGUUACCGCAUGGUAACUAUGUAAAAGGUGGCUAUGCUACCGCUUUUGGAUGGGCCCGCGGCGCAUUAGCUAGUUGGUGGGGUAAAGGCUUACCAAGGCAAUGAUGCGUAGCCGAACUGAGAGGUUGAUCGGCCACAUUGGGACUGAGACACGGCCCAAACUCCUACGGGAGGCAGCAGUAGGGAAUCUUCCACAAUGGGCGAAAGCCUGAUGGAGCAACGCCGCGUGGGUGAAGAAGGUCUUCGGAUCGUAAAACCCUGUUGUUAGAGAAGAAAGUGCGUGAGAGUAACUGUUCACGUUUCGACGGUAUCUAACCAGAAAGCCACGGCUAACUACGUGCCAGCAGCCGCGGUAAUACGUAGGUGGCAAGCGUUAUCCGGAUUUAUUGGGCGUAAAGGGAACGCAGGCGGUCUUUUAAGUCUGAUGUGAAAGCCUUCGGCUUAACCGGAGUAGUGCAUUGGAAACUGGGAGACUUGAGUGCAGAAGAGGAGAGUGGAACUCCAUGUGUAGCGGUGAAAUGCGUAGGUAUAUGGAAGAACACCAGUGGCGAAAGCGGCUCUCUGGUCUGUAACUGACGCUGAGGUUCGAAAGCGUGGGUAGCAAACAGGAUUAGAUACCCUGGUAGU
RNAcentral lists this ribosomal RNA (756 nucleotides) under uncultured bacterium. RNAcentral's name for it is "bacterial SSU rRNA". It matches the Rfam family "Bacterial small subunit ribosomal RNA", at positions 69 to 794 of the family's 1533-position model. The record is from RNAcentral.